GACGAACGCUGGCGGCGUGCUUAACACAUGCAAGUCGAGCGGUAAGGCCCUUUCGGGGGUACACGAGCGGCGAACGGGUGAGUAACACGUGGGUGACCUGCCCUCAGCUCUGGGAUAAGCCUGGGAAACUGGGUCUAAUACUGGAUAUGACUCCACGGUGCAUGUCGUGGGGUGGAAAGCCUUGUGCGGCUGAGGAUGGGCCCGCGGCCUAUCAGCUUGUUGGUGGGGUGAUGGCCUACCAAGGCGACGACGGGUAGCCGGCCUGAGAGGGCGACCGGCCACACUGGGACUGAGACACGGCCCAGACUCCUACGGGAGGCAGCAGUGGGGAAUCUUGCGCAAUGGGCGAAAGCCUGACGCAGCGACGCCGCGUGAGGGAUGACGGCCU
This 388-nucleotide ribosomal RNA is filed under the name uncultured bacterium. RNAcentral describes it as "bacterial SSU rRNA". It matches the Rfam family "Bacterial small subunit ribosomal RNA", at positions 28 to 417 of the family's 1533-position model. The record is from RNAcentral.